Molecule: non-coding RNA, 73 nt
Filed under: unclassified sequences
Description: L13-Bacteroidia ribosomal protein leader
Rfam family: L13-Bacteroidia ribosomal protein leader
Source: RNAcentral
GGGCACCCCAAAAAGUGCCCAAACUGCGUGUGAAUAGCCCGUUUCAUUGGCCUGGACGGACGGUUCGUGAAUC